This 138-nucleotide small nucleolar RNA is filed under the name Ornithorhynchus anatinus (platypus). The record is from RNAcentral. Lineage: Eukaryota; Metazoa; Chordata; Mammalia; Monotremata; Ornithorhynchidae.
CCUCUCUCAGGGUCGCACCAGGAGAGCUUCCAGUACUCUACCAGUCUCAGCUACUGGAGGGAGAGUCAAGCAGAGGCCUACCCCUUCCAUUCCUAGCUUGGCCAGUGGCUAGCGAGUGGAAAGCAAUCUGCUACAAGU